RNAcentral lists this ribosomal RNA (1373 nucleotides) under uncultured bacterium. Its description in RNAcentral is "bacterial SSU rRNA". It matches the Rfam family "Bacterial small subunit ribosomal RNA", at positions 28 to 1381 of the family's 1533-position model. The record is from RNAcentral.
GAUGAACGCUGGCGGCGUGCCUAAUACAUGCAAGUCGAGCGAACAGAUGAGAAGCUUGCUUCUCUGAUGUUAGCGGCGGACGGGUGAGUAACACGUGGGUAACCUACCUAUAAGACUGGGAUAACUCCGGGAAACCGGGGCUAAUACCGGAUAAUAUUUUGAACCGCAUGGUUCAAUAGUGAAAGACGGUUUCGGCUGUCACUUAUAGAUGGACCCGCGCCGUAUUAGCUAGUUGGUAAGGUAACGGCUUACCAAGGCGACGAUACGUAGCCGACCUGAGAGGGUGAUCGGCCACACUGGAACUGAGACACGGUCCAGACUCCUACGGGAGGCAGCAGUAGGGAAUCUUCCGCAAUGGGCGAAAGCCUGACGGAGCAACGCCGCGUGAGUGAUGAAGGUCUUCGGAUCGUAAAACUCUGUUGUUAGGGAAGAACAAAUUUGUUAGUAACUGAACAAGUCUUGACGGUACCUAACCAGAAAGCCACGGCUAACUACGUGCCAGCAGCCGCGGUAAUACGUAGGUGGCAAGCGUUAUCCGGAAUUAUUGGGCGUAAAGCGCGCGUAGGCGGUUUCUUAAGUCUGAUGUGAAAGCCCACGGCUCAACCGUGGAGGGUCAUUGGAAACUGGGAAACUUGAGUGCAGAAGAGGAGAGUGGAAUUCCAUGUGUAGCGGUGAAAUGCGCAGAGAUAUGGAGGAACACCAGUGGCGAAGGCGGCUCUCUGGUCUGUAACUGACGCUGAUGUGCGAAAGCGUGGGGAUCAAACAGGAUUGGAUACCCUGGUAGUCCACGCCGUAAACGAUGAGUGCUAAGUGUUAGGGGGUUUCCGCCCCUUAGUGCUGCAGCUAACGCAUUAAGCACUCCGCCUGGGGAGUACGACCGCAAGGUUGAAACUCAAAGGAAUUGACGGGGACCCGCACAAGCGGUGGAGCAUGUGGUUUAAUUCGAAGCAACGCGAAGAACCUUACCAAAUCUUGACAUCCUUUGACCGCUCUAGAGAUAGAGUCUUCCCCUUCGGGGGACAAAGUGACAGGUGGUGCAUGGUUGUCGUCAGCUCGUGUCGUGAGAUGUUGGGUUAAGUCCCGCAACGAGCGCAACCCUUAAGCUUAGUUGCCAUCAUUAAGUUGGGCACUCUAGGUUGACUGCCGGUGACAAACCGGAGGAAGGUGGGGAUGACGUCAAAUCAUCAUGCCCCUUAUGAUUUGGGCUACACACGUGCUACAAUGGAUAAUACAAAGGGCAGCGAAUCCGCGAGGCCAAGCAAAUCCCAUAAAAUUAUUCUCAGUUCGGAUUGUAGUCUGCAACUCGACUACAUGAAGCUGGAAUCGCUAGUAAUCGUAGAUCAGCAUGCUACGGUGAAUACGUUCCCGGGUCU